Non-coding RNA from Pelobates cultripes (western spadefoot toad), 937 nucleotides. NCBI's taxonomy places the organism in Eukaryota, Metazoa, Chordata, Amphibia, Anura, Pelobatidae. The record is from the annotation of a GenBank genome assembly.
GUUUCUUGAUCCAAGGAUAAAUCUGACUGCCAUUCUGGGGUCAAGAAGGAAUAAUUAUUUUUCCUAGUUUGUUGCAAAAAAAGUACUUUUGGCUCAACAGCAAAAAACAGACGUGAGGAAAGCUGAACUUGAUGAACACAUGUGUAACUAAAGGUCCAAGCUUCCUGAUAUUUUUUUUUGUUUUGUGAUCUGCUGCUCUGAAAUUAUCAUAGUGUGUGCCCAGGCAGUUACAGGUAUCCUCCUUAAUCUGGCUGAGUGUCAGGUCCACUAAUGAUUCUAUGUGUAUGUUACUGUUCCUCUAACUAACUACCUAUCUAAACAGUCUUCUCUAAUCCUCUGGAGCUUGUUUAAACCCUUAAGGACACAUGACAUGUGUGACAUGUCAUGAUUCCCUUUUAUUCCAGAAGUUUGGUCCUUAAGGGGUUAAUGAGUCUGGUGUUGGGUUCUCCAUUUACCUCCAUACAGUUUCUGCAUUGUGCCAUCAAAGCUGAGCCUUGUGCAACCUUCUGAGCUCUGGAUUAUUAGUCCCACCUCCUAAAUGUUCAUCACUACGUCAACUCCUGGGUUGACCUCCUUGAAUUGGGUUUAAGGUUUGACUCAGCUGGAUCAUAUACUUACCUCUCUCUCACUCCUCUUGCAUAACCUACAUUACUUCAUGACAAAUUGUCUGCAUUACUCUUAGCUGACUGUUCUCAAGUACCAACACUUGGGUCUGUGCACUCCUUUUCCCCCAUGUAAUUUAUAUUUGUAAGUUUUUUUUACAUUAACCGUGACUAUUCCUAGACCAUAGUCACUGCAGCUCAUUGUAGUGGUUGUGAAUCUAUAAGCAGCCUCAUCUGUUUUUUGUGUUGGUUUCUGAUUUGUUUUGUUAGUUUUUGGGGCCUGCGUGUCCCCUGUGAUUUUAUUUUCUUUAAAGAUCUGCUUAUCUUAACUUAUU